RNAcentral lists this ribosomal RNA (1444 nucleotides) under uncultured Bordetella sp. RNAcentral describes it as "partial 16S-23S ribosomal RNA intergenic spacer". It matches the Rfam family "Bacterial small subunit ribosomal RNA". Lineage: Bacteria; Pseudomonadati; Pseudomonadota; Betaproteobacteria; Burkholderiales; Alcaligenaceae. The record is from RNAcentral.
AGUUCGAUCAUGGCUCAGAUUGAACGCUGGCGGGAUGCUUUACACAUGCAAGUCGAACGGCAGCACGGACUUCAGUCUGGUGGCGAGUGGCGAACGGGUGAGUAAUAUCGGAACGUGCCUAGUAGCGGGGGAUAACCACGCGCGCGAAGCGUGGCUCAUCUCCGCAAUACGCCUUCGGGACAGCAGGGACCAGGCCUCAGCACAAUAGAGCUGGCCGAUGUCCCGGACUGGCUCAGUUAAGGUGGGCAACAACCCACCGGUAGGCGAUCAGCGGUUCUAAGGACGACUAGCACACUAGGUUCAGACGGCCCCCAGACUCUGGGGCGAGCGUUGGAAUUUUACGGACAAUGGAACAAUCAAUGUAUUCCCGCAGUAAUGCAUUGAGGCCCGGGAUGUAAGCCUUUGGCAGGAAGAAGCGGCACGGAUAUCUUCGGCAUUGAAUUGUACCUGCAGAUAAGCGCUUUCGUCUAACUACGUCCGCAGCAGCCGCGUAACCGUAAGCAAUGCAGCAUCCAUCCGAUAGGCGUCAAAACGAUGCAGACGGUUCGAUGUCAUCGCAAAUCUGAGCUGCUACGAACGCAUUUUUAACUACCGAGCUAGAGUGUGUCAGAGGGAGGUGGAAUUCCGCGUGUAGCAGUGAAAUGCGUAGAUAUGCGGAGGAACACCGAUGGCAGAGGCAGCCUCCUGGGAUAACAUGACGCUCAUGCACGAAAACGUGGGAGCAAACAGGAUUAGAUACCCUGGUAGUCCACGCCCUAAACGAUGUCAACUAGCUGUUGGGGCCUUCGGGCCUUGACAGCGCAACUAACGCGUGAAGUUGACCGCCUGGGGAGUACGGUCGCGGAAUUAAAACUCAAAGGAAUUGACGGGGACCCGCACAAGCGGUGGAUGAUGUGUGGAUUAAUUCGAUGCAACGCGAAAAACCUUACCUACCCUUGACAUGUGGAAUCGAAAGAGAUUUGGGAGUGCUCGCGAGAGAACCGGAACACAGGUGCUGCAUGGCUGUCGUCAGCUCGUGCGUGAGAUGUUGGGUUAAGUCCCGCAACGAGCGCAACCCUUGUCAUUAGUUGCUACGAAGAGGGCCUCUAAUGAGACUGCCGGUGACAAACCGGAGGAAGGUGGGGAUGACGUCAAGUCCUCAUGGCCCUUAUGGGUAGGGCUUCACACGUCAUACAAUGGUCGGGACAGAGGGUCGCCAACCCGCGAGGGGGAGCCAAUCCCAGAAACCCGAUCGUAGUCCGGAUCGCAGUCUGCAACUCGACUGCGUGGAGAGUCGGAAUCGCUAGUAAUCGCGGAUCAGCAUGUCGCGGUGAAUACGUUCCCGGGUCUUGUACACACCGCCCGUCACACCAUGGGAGUGGGUUUUACCAGAAGUAGUUAGCCUAACCGUAAGGAGGCGAUUACCACGGUAGGAUUCAUGACUGGGGGUGAAGUCGCUGGGUAG